UACAGAGGUCUCAACCGUUGUUCGGAUUCAUUGGGCGUAAAGGGUGCGUAGGCGGCCCCGCAAGUCAGGUGUGAAAUCUCCGGGCUCAACCCGGAAACUGCACUAGAUACUGCGGGGCUGGAGAGCCGGAGAGGAGACUGGAAUUUACGGUGUAGCAGUGAAAUGCGUAGAUAUCGUAAGGAAGACCAGUGGCGAAGGCGAGUCUCUGGACGGCAUCUGACGCUGAGGCACGAAGGCUAGGGGAGCAAACGGG
RNAcentral lists this ribosomal RNA (253 nucleotides) under uncultured bacterium. RNAcentral describes it as "partial 16S ribosomal RNA". It matches the Rfam family "Bacterial small subunit ribosomal RNA", at positions 524 to 776 of the family's 1533-position model. The record is from RNAcentral.